GAUGAACGCUAGCGGGAGGCCUAACACAUGCAAGCCGAGCGGUAUGGGUAGCUUGCUACCCAGAGAGCGGCGUACGGGUGCGUAACACGUGUGCAACCUGCCCCUAUCCGGGGGAUAGCCCUCCGAAAGGAGGAUUAAUACCCCAUAAUAUAUCUGGUGGCAUCACUAGAUAUUGAAAACCCCGGUGGAUAGGGAUGGGCACGCGCAAGAUUAGAUAGUUGGCGGGGUAACGGCCCACCAAGUCGAUGAUCUUUAGGGGUCCUGAGAGGGAGAUCCCCCACACUGGUACUGAGACACGGACCAGACUCCUACGGGAGGCAGCUGUGAGGAAUAUUGGACAAUGGGUGGAAGCCUGAUCCAGCCAUCCCGCGUGAGGGACGACGGCCCUAUGGGUUGUAAACCUCUUUUGUACGGGGAUAAACCUAUCUACGUGUAGAUAGCUGAAGGUACCGUACGAAUAAGCACCGGCUAACUCC
This 476-nucleotide ribosomal RNA is filed under the name uncultured bacterium. RNAcentral describes it as "partial 16S ribosomal RNA". It matches the Rfam family "Bacterial small subunit ribosomal RNA", at positions 28 to 504 of the family's 1533-position model. The record is from RNAcentral.